Long non-coding RNA from Mustela lutreola (European mink), 3124 nucleotides. RefSeq lists it as uncharacterized. Lineage: Eukaryota; Metazoa; Chordata; Mammalia; Carnivora; Mustelidae. The transcript has 6 exons. The record is from RefSeq and is a predicted model, not a curated record.
CUUUCACCAGGGAGGAGCAGGAGGGAGGCGGCGGCUUAUUGAUCCUUUCCAGGACAGGCCUGUCCUUGACGGGCUAUUUUUGGCACAGUUUCACCCCGCAAAGCUUCCCCUGCCAGGUGGACACUUUGACACGUCAGCUCCCGUGUGCCGGGGAACAGGACCCGCUUUCCCUCUAGCUUCAGCAAAGAGCAGUUGGGAGGUCCACUCUGUGUGGGGACAACGGGCGCUGCGUUCCGAGACGAAGAGCAGAGACAGCACGCAGAGAACUCACUCUCGCCGACAUUUUCCUGCUUUCUGCAAUGAGAGCGUUUAUCCUGGAAUUUCCAGAUCCCCUGGUGCCCGCACAGGCUAGAGAACUUGCACAUCCCUUCACCCACGGUGCUCUCUCCGCGAAGAGGAUUUGUGCGGCAGUUUUCGUCUUCCGAGAAAACGCGAGGGGAGGAAGAGGAGUGGGUCUCUUCAGAGCUAAGACUGGUGAAUGAGCAUGCAAUCGAGUGUUAGGGGCGAUUCCACAAAUAAGAAACGAAGACCCCAUUCCUCCACCCUUGGGCUGAGCCUCUGUCAUUGGAUGAAGUGUCUUGUCCCACAGCAGAUAAUACCCACGGAGUCAACCGCCUGUUCCUCUAGAAGGCAGGCUCCUGGCAAGCAGGGUCCCUGCUGCAUCAGAGGUUGCCGUAAAUCUUACCCAAAACUCGGGCGGGGCUGGAGCGACUGUCUGCGUACACAACUCCGUUGUCUUCCUCGGCACAGACAAGGAGAGUGGGGCCCGAUUCCCACCACCGGACCACACCUACCCUCCCUAGGCCAUGCUCCUAGGCCACGUUUGAUUGCUUUCUGGCCCUUUGCUGACUCUACCAGCAUGACUCCCUCCUGCCACGAGGCUCUGCCGCUUUGCUGAUGUGCAGAUGGAUCCUUGAGUACACGGAGUAAAGCUCUCCCACUCAGACAGACGAGCCACAGGAGCAGUCUUCAGAAUGGGAUGGUGACAGCUGCUCCCUUUGGGGGGAGCCAGCCCAGAAGCUCUUCGGCCGCCUUGCUCGCGCCUGCUUCGAGGUUUGCUAAUUUCACGCCUGGCUUUUUCGUGCCGUGCCUUUUGAAAGGCAGGAGGGGCAUGGCCGACUCGCUGGCUGGUGAUCUUCAGAGCUCAUCUCAAGGUCAACAGUGAUGGCCUGUGGCCAGUAAGCACGCCGGCAGGAGUGCCAGGACGCAGGAUCUGGGUCUAUGCCAUUCACGCCUGACCCUGUGGGUGGUAGACCCUGAGGCCCAGACUGAAGAUGUGGGAGAGCAAGCACUUCCCUCGGAGCGAGCUGUGGCGGGGCGUGGGCCAUGGUCAUGUAGUUGGGUGUGGCUUGAACGCCAACAGGGGAGGGGGGCUCUUCUUGGAGGAGAGGGGGAGGGUUCCUGGUAAAAACAGAAGUUGGCGGAGUAGAUCUGAAGGUCCACUUGGCUUUACCCAACGACCCCAGAGUCCGGGCGCAGCACAUGGGAAGGCCUCCCAGGAGCUGUACACAAUGGAAGGCAUUUAUGCAGAGGAGGGGUCGGGAAAAGGAUGUUUCUAGCAACAAGUGGAUGGAUUGUUUCAGACAAGGUUACCUUCCUGUGGGGGAUGGAGUGGCCCGUCAGAGGGACCGUCUCCCGGUGCUGACCGGUCAAAGGUUACACUCCCAGGAGUGGCUGGACUGUUCCUAAGUCAGGAGUUAGUCUUGGUUCACUGUCGGGGACCUGUGACUGCAACCCGUGACUCCAGGACUCCAACAGCCCUGAGAGAGGCCGUCGGCCUGGGGACGCUGGGGCGGCUAACUAGAACCGGGGCCUCGUGGGGAUGGGCUUGGAAGCACAUUUAGGGCUCCAGUCGGUCCCGACUUGGGGCUGGAGCUGGUGACCAAAUUUAGAGAAACUGGCAGUUACUCACGCAGCCCUGGCCGCCCAGGGCCGACCGUUACGGGGGGUCGUGACUAGAGGAGACAGUCUGACCUCCUGCCAGUCUGAUUCACAGCCGGCUGGCUUGCAGGCUGGCGGCCGUGGGGAUGGGGCAGGCUUCCUGGCAGGCUGCUGCAGGUCGUGGGUGGGAGUUCUGUGUUUCUGUUCGGCCUGGCCACCGUCCACUACGUAUUCAGUCUCUCGAGGACAGUCGGAGCACCCCCUCAGCUGGGAACAGAGACAGCAGCGCCUUCUUCGUUCUGAGACUCCAAGAAGCUGCUGGGCUGGUGCAGGGGCCUGGUUGUCAAAGCUGGAAAUCCGGCUGGGGCUUGGAGGGGGAUGGAGGCGGAACGUAGCUUCCCCGUCACGUGGGAGGCUCACCGAGCAAGGGCCCCGGCUGCCCCGCAGGGUCUGAUAAGAUAAAGAGCCACUGUGGGGCUCUGCUCGGAAGCCCGUUGGCAGGGGUGUCCGAACCCACGUUGCAUCACCUGCUCCGUCCUCCUCCAGCCUGGAAGGGGACUGAGCCCCCAGAUCGUGCAGGAAAACCACGUGAAGAGAGCCGCACAGUCCAGAGCGGCCGGCUUUCCGCCUCAGCCAGGAGCCGAGAGCAGCCUCGAGAAACGGCGUUGCUCUGCUCCAUUUGUUGAAACACAACACGUUUAAGUGAGGUUCACCCGUGACCAUUCCUUUCUCUCGGCGUGUUGGAAGCAGGGCUUUUGAUGGAGCUCACGAGUGGCUCAUUCAAAAGGAGAAUCUGCCUGAAAACGUACAAAUCAAACUUUUCCCAAAGUGUCGAACAAAGACAAGAUCUGCCCGUGAGCCGCACGGCAAGACUUUCGCCGCAUGGAGACGACGGGCCCCCUGGUCUGACAGGUUGGGUGACCUGCUCGGUUCCUUCAGGGCACCCCAUCCAGAGACCAGCCUUCUGCAGAUUUUACAGUGCUGUAUUUGGAGUUUGAUGUAAAAACAUAUCCCCAAGAGGUCACGUUAUGUUCAAAAAUCUGCAUUUGGUAUUAGAAUUUGGGGCCGUGAGCAGAGUGAACCCGCCACGUGUGACAAAACUGGUCUCCAAACAGGUGCUGCUCCCGAGGGAUCUCCCUUGGGGAAGAACACUCCCCGAGUGUGAAGCUGAGACACACUCCCCGUGGGCCUAACACGGCUGCCAGUUGAUUGCCCAAAGUUGUCUUUUGUGAGCUCUGUGAUU